Molecule: ribosomal RNA, 530 nt
Filed under: uncultured bacterium
Lineage: Bacteria
Description: bacterial SSU rRNA
Rfam family: Bacterial small subunit ribosomal RNA
Source: RNAcentral
AAUAGAUACCCAGGUAGUCCACGCCGUAAACGAUGUCGACUUGGAGGUUGUUCCCUUGAGGAGUGGCUUCCGGAGCUAACGCGUUAAGUCGACCGCCUGGGGAGUACGGCCGCAAGGUUAAAACUCAAAUGAAUUGACGGGGGCCCGCACAAGCGGUGGAGCAUGUGGUUUAAUUCGAUGCAACGCGAAGAACCUUACCUACUCUUGACAUCCAGAGAACUUAGCAGAGAUGCUUUGGUGCCUUCGGGAACUCUGAGACAGGUGCUGCAUGGCUGUCGUCAGCUCGUGUUGUGAAAUGUUGGGUUAAGUCCCGCAACGAGCGCAACCCUUAUCCUUUGUUGCCAGCGGUCCGGCCGGGAACUCAAAGGAGACUGCCAGUGAUAAACUGGAGGAAGUGGGGAUGACGUCAAGUCAUCAUGGCCCUUACGAGUAGGGCUACACACGUGCUACAAUGGCGUAUACAAAGAGAAGCGACCUCGCGAGAGCAAGCGGACCUCAUAAAGUACGUCGUAGUCCGGAUUGGAGUCUGC